This 4062-nucleotide long non-coding RNA is filed under the name Lactuca sativa (garden lettuce). Its description in RNAcentral is "long non-coding RNA (LSAT_LNC008269)". Lineage: Eukaryota; Viridiplantae; Streptophyta; Magnoliopsida; Asterales; Asteraceae. The record is from RNAcentral.
GUAUAUUAAUAAUAAGAAUAAUAAGAUUAUUUAAUUAGUAUUGAUCAAGAAUUAAUCUAGGAUUAAUUAAGUGAUCAAAAGAAGACUAAUUAAAUAUAUGGGUUGAUUGUGUAAAUCAUCCAUACUUGUAUAGUGGGCUAAUGGAUAAUCAAGUUGGGCUAAAACCCAUAGGAUGGUCCAUGGAUGCUCCAUGGUGUAUUUGAACCCAUGGAUCCAAGGAAAUGGAAAGUCAUGACAAUUAGGGUUUUCCCUAAUUGUAUAACUAUAUAAGCAUCUUAUUAUUGAGGAAAAAUCGGCCACUAGAGAUAGUGAAGAAAGGGCUAGCCGAUUUUGAAGAGUGUAGAAUUCUCUCAAAUCAUUCCAAGUGUUUUGAUGAUUGUGAUUCCAUUUGAGGUGUCACACUUGGGGCACUAGGCACUCAAGCUUCAUGAAGACUUUCUACAUCAAAGAGGUAUGUAUUCUAUCUUGCUAUAGUCAUUGUUUUGUAUGCUAGAUUAGGAUAAUACCUUGGAAGUUCUUAUUUGCAUGUAUAAUAGAGAAAACAUAGAUCCAAGGUAUUUAGGGUUGCAUGUACACUUAGGAAGUGUUAGAAUGCUCAAAAACCCAACAGAACCUUCUUAGGUACCAGAGGAACUCCCUUCAGCAAUCCAGGGGGAACCUCUCCAAACUUAUCAAGAAAACGUCAUGAUCGCUCCAACAAGUCAAGAUGUUUCCACAGGCUGUUCACAAAUCCAGGGGGAACUUCCUUCUCCGUCUGAAGCAACCUCUGAUAUUGAAAACAUUCCUUCUACCGCAGCUACUAACCAUCUGAUGCCUCGUCUACACGUAUGGACGAAGGAUCACCCACCAGGUCAAAUUAUUGGCAACCCAUCCGCAGGUAUUCAAACUCGAUUUGUCAAAUAUUUAUCUGAUCAUUGUCACUAUGCAACAUUUAUGUUCGCAGUCGAGCCUCGAUCUAUAAAUGAAGCAUUAUUGGAACUAGAUUGGAUUUCUACAAUGCAAGAAGAACUAGAAGAAUUUGAAAGAAACAAAGUGUGGCAACUUGUUUCCAUACCGCAAGGCCAUACUAUUGUUGGAACAAGAUGGUUGUUCAAGAACAAGCUAGAUGAAUCUGGUGCGGUUAUCCGAAACAAGGCAAGACUAGUUGCAAAAGGGUAUAGUCAACUGAAAGGCGUUGACUAUGAUGAAACAUAUGCUCCGGUGGCAAGAAUGGAAGCAAUUUGAAUCUUUUUAGCAUAUUCUUCCCACAAGAACAUCAAGGUACACCAAAUGGAUGUUAAAAGUGAUUUUAUCAAUGGGAAAUUGAAAGAAGAGGUUUAUUUGCAACAACCUCCCAGUUUUGAAAAUAUUGAAUUUCCUGACCACUGCUACAAGCUUCAAAAGGCAGUCUACGGUCUAAAGCAAGCUCCUGGAGCUUGGUAUGAGACUCUUUCUGAAUUCUUAGUCUCUUCAGGCUACAAAAGAGGAGUGAUUGAUCCCACGCUAUUUAGAAAAGCAAAUGGUACUCACCUUAUGCAUGUACCAAUAUACAUGAAUGAUAUCAUCUUCGGAUCAUCAGAUCAAGGAAUGGUGGAUGAAUUUGCUAAGCUCAUGACAAACAAAUUCCAAAUGAGCAUGAAUAGAGAAAUUAAUUUCUUUCUAGUCUUCAAGUCAAACAAAUUCAGCAAGGAAUAUUCAUUCAUCAAGAAAAACACACCACUGAACUCUUGAAGAAAUGCUCUAUGGGUAACUGCUCCUCGACUAAGGUUCCUAUGGCCUUCGGAUAUAAGAUCUCUGUUGAUCCCUCUGGAAAAUCUGUGGAUCACAAGACUUAUAGAGGUAUCAUUGGCUCUCUUAUGUACCUCACUACAAGACGACCAGACAUUGUCUUUGCUACUGGUGUAUGUGCAAAGUAUCAGGCUAACCCAAAAGUGUCACACAUGACCGCAGCCAAACAAAUUCUCCGGUACCUGAAAGGAAGCAAAUCCCUUGGUCUAUGGUACCCCACAUGCAAUGACUUCAGUCUUCAAGUGUUUACCGAUGCAAAUCAUACUGGAUGUAAACUUGAUUGAAAAAGUACAUCUGGUGGAUGUCAAUUUUUGGGAGGUAGACUUGUCAGCUGGUCCUCAAGAAAACAAAGUUGUGUUUCUUUGUCUACCAUAGAAGCAGAAUAUGUGGCCGCAACCAAUUGUUGUUCUCAAGUUCUAUGGAUGAAGACUCAACUAUUAGACUACGGUUACAGAAUGCUGCGGAUACGAAUCUACUCUAAUUCUGAAAGUGCCAUAACGAUUUCUCAUAAUCCUAUUCAGCACUCCAAGACAACACAUAUUGAACUACGAUAUCAUUUCAUCAAAGACCACAUUCUGAAAGGUAACAUCGAACUCAUCUUUUCCCUACUCAUAAAGAGAUUGCUGAUGUCUUUACAAAAACACUUGACUCUACCAAACUCAAUGCGUUCUUACAAAUGUUAGGGAUGAUGAAUCCGGACCCCCAAUUCUUCUUGAAUUGAUACGUACCGCAGACCUUCUUGGUCUCCAUUGCGGUUCUAGAUGAAAGACACUUAUAACAGAUGGUUUUGGUAUAUUAUGUGUACCGCAAUCAAUGUACCGCAACCAUAUAUUAUAUUUAUCUUUCAUGGGUCUUUCUUGUUUGUUGUUACUAACUUUUGUACAAGUUCUCUACUCAGUUUCUCCUACUGCAAUCAUCCGUAAUGCCAAGGAAACCAUCCGCAAUGAUCAGUUCGUCCGCAGUCACAAUAAUUGUUUUACAGACGGUUCAUUUUUUUUUGAAAAGCAAAAAUAGUGUGCUAUUUAAUGAUCCUUCAUUAAAUAAAAAAUUAAAUAAAAACAUUCCUUUGAGAAACUGUCACAUUCUUUUCUCCCAAAACCUCGUGUCACACCUAUUUUAGGUAUGAUGACAAAAUAAAAAAUUUUCCAAAUCAAAUCCUCUAAUAUGUCUUUUCCACUUACCCCCAAGCCAUCACAUCCGUUACAACUUCUACUUUAUCCAACGGAUUUAUUUCACCCCCUGUUGGAUUAAUGUCUAAGUCCAUAACUAUAUUUGGUAAGACUUGACCCGACCCGGCAUGGUCCAUUUGGGUUGCAUACCAUCAUGCACUUGGAUAGACUAUAAUGAGAGAAAUAAGACACUUAUGGUUAUUAAUAUAUUAUAAGUUCUAGUAUAUUAAUAAUAAGAAUAAUAAGAUUAUUUAAUUAGUAUUGAUCAAGAAUUAAUCUAGGAUUAAUUAAGUGAUCAAAAGAAGACUAAUUAAAUAUAUGGGUUGAUUGUGUAAAUCAUCCAUACUUGUAUAGUGGGCUAAUGCUCCAUGGAUAAUCAAGUUGGGCUAAAACCCAUAGGAUGGUCCAUGGAUGCUCCAUGGUGUAUUUGAACCCAUGGAUCCAAGGAAAUGGAAAGUCAUGACAAUUAGGGUUUUCCCUAAUUGUAUAACUAUAUAAGCAUCUUAUUAUUGAGGAAAAAUCGGCCACUAGAGAUAGUGAAGAAAGGGCUAGCCGAUUUUGAAGAGUGUAGAAUUCUCUCAANCAAGUGUUUUGAUGAUGUUGAUUCCAUUUGAGGUGUCACACUUGGGGCACUAGGCACUCAAGCUUCAUGAAGACUUUCUACACCAAAAAGGUAUGUAUUCUGUCCUACUAUAUUCAUUGUUUUAUAUGCUAGAUUAGGAUAAUACCUUGGAAGUUCUUAUUUGCAUGUAUAAUAGAGAAAACAUAGAUCCAAGGUAUUUAGGGUUGCAUGUACACUUAGGAGUGUUAGAAUGCUCAAAACCCAACAGUGGUAUCAGAGCCUAGGCUUGUUUUCUUGUUAUACUUGCAAAACUGCUUAAAAAAUCGAAUUUCUUGCUGUCUGAUCAUCAGACUCGGCGAGUCCAUCAGGAGACUCGGCGAGUCCAUGCCUAAAAAGUGAUGAAUUCGAUCCAACUCGCCGAGUUGGUUCAUGCACUCGACGAGUUGGACCCCCAGACAGCAUAUUUUCGAGUUUUUUGGCUAGAAAUGGACUAGGAACAUUACCCUAAGUUGUUUUUGAACUUAUAAACUUGUUUUUGAUGUGGUAAUGUUCAUGCUAAUCCAU